This 500-nucleotide ribosomal RNA is filed under the name Hespellia stercorisuis. RNAcentral's name for it is "bacterial SSU rRNA". It matches the Rfam family "Bacterial small subunit ribosomal RNA", at positions 7 to 505 of the family's 1533-position model. Lineage: Bacteria; Bacillati; Bacillota; Clostridia; Lachnospirales; Lachnospiraceae. The record is from RNAcentral.
GAGAGUUUGAUCCUGGCUCAGGAUGAACGCUGGCGGCGUGCUUAACACAUGCAAGUCGAGCGAAACACUUAGAUCUGAUUUCUUCGGAAUGAACAACUUUGUGAUUGAGCGGCGGACGGGUGAGUAACGCGUGGAUAACCUACCUCAUACAGGGGGAUAACAGUUAGAAAUGACUGCUAAUACCGCAUAAGACCGCGGCACCGCAUGGUGCAGUGGUAAAAACUCCGGUGGUAUGAGAUGGAUCCGCGUCUGAUUAGCUAGUUGGUGAGGUAAUGGCCCACCAAGGCGAUGAUCAGUAGCCGACCUGAGAGGGUGAUCGGCCACAUUGGGACUGAGACACGGCCCAAACUCCUACGGGAGGCAGCAGUGGGGAAUAUUGCACAAUGGGGGAAACCCUGAUGCAGCGACGCCGCGUGAAGGAUGAAGUAUUUCGGUAUGUAAACUUCUAUCAGCAGGGAAGAAAAUGACGGUACCUGACUAAGAAGCCCCGGCUAACUACG